GACGAACGCUGGCGGCGUGCUUAACACAUGCAAGUCGAACGGAAAGGCCCUGCUUGUGGGGGGGGCUCGAGUGGCGAACGGGUGAGUAACGCGUGAGUAACCUGCCCUUGACUUUAGGAUAACUUCAGGAAACUGGGUCUAAUAUCGGAUAGGCGCUCCUGCUGCAUGGGGGGGGUUGGAAAGUUUCGGCGGUUGGGGAUGGACUCGCGGCUGAUCAGCUUGUUGGUGGGGUAGUGGCUUACCAGGGAUUUGACGGGUAGCAGGCCGGAGAGGGGGACGGCCCAAAUUGGGAUUGAGAUACGGCCAAAAAUCCACGGGGAGGCAGCGGUGGGGAAUAUUCCGCAAUGGGCGGGGGCUUAAUGAAGGAGAGCGGGGUGCGGGAGACCGGCCUUCGGGUUGUAACCGCCUUUCGCAUGGGACGAAGCGUGAGUGACGGUACUGGGUAAAGAAGCACCGGCUAACUACGUG
RNAcentral lists this ribosomal RNA (468 nucleotides) under uncultured bacterium. RNAcentral's name for it is "partial 16S ribosomal RNA". It matches the Rfam family "Bacterial small subunit ribosomal RNA", at positions 28 to 507 of the family's 1533-position model. The record is from RNAcentral.